This 1139-nucleotide long non-coding RNA is filed under the name Monodelphis domestica (gray short-tailed opossum). RNAcentral's name for it is "lncRNA (ENSMODG00000037070.1)". The record is from RNAcentral. Lineage: Eukaryota; Metazoa; Chordata; Mammalia; Didelphimorphia; Didelphidae.
AGGAGGAACACAUGAUAUACCAGGAAAGAGAUUUGAAAAUGUUCGGACAACAUUAUUCAAGAUAACUAAGAACCAGGCCUUGGGGAGGAGAUAAAGAAAUAGUAACUGCUUGUUUAAUUGGGAUGCAGCCAUGAUUUUUUCACUAUAUCCAAAAUGCCUGGGAGGCAAUCAUCAGAGAAUAAAUUCAGUAGUGGUAGGACUACAGGACUGGAACCCAUUAAAGGAAAAACGGAAAAGGUUUUGGAUUUUUUCAACCCAGCUGCCCUGGACAGAAGCCAGCCCACAGAUGCCUUAAUUCAAGAUACUGAAAGAACUCUAAGGAAUAGGCUCUGGGCCCUGGAAAGUCAUGAUAAUCUCUCACAUGAUGGAGCCAUUAGGAAAGCAGGGCUUGAAUCCAAAAAACCAGGCCUAGGGGAUUCAAAUCCAACAGCCUUCAUUGAGUCAGCAUGGCCCAGAACAGCCUUCAACCCCCUAAGGAGGGAGGUCCAAGAACUUGAGACUCCAUUCUACAAAGCUCUCCCAUCAUCCCAUGAUUUUCCUAGCAAUGCUAAAACAUUGGAGAUUUUCCAAAUACUACAACUGUUAAGAUGAAAUUUAACUCUCCCCUGAUUAUAACAAUGAAAUUAAUUAACUCUCCCCAAUUGUGAAGAUUAAAUUGUAACCCCUGACUAUUUUUAGAACACCCUACUUAAAGUUGAGUAUGGAGAUCUGCCUAUUUUUAGAUCUAAUCACCAAAAGUGUAAACAUUCCACUUUGAGUGGGAGGUCUGUGACCCACAUGUGCAAUAGUGGGUGAUGAAUCAGAAUCAACUGACUGCCUUCUGGGCAGUCCUAGAGCAGAGCAUCAACUGUGAUUGGUAGAUGAAAAAUUAGGGGAAGACACAGGAAGUGAUGGAAGAGAAAAUGUCUUUAAAAGGAAGUGACAACUUCCUGAAGGAAUUCAAUUCUUCAUGCUUUUGAGUUGAGGCUGGUGAAGAGGGGCAGAAGGAUCUACUGACUGGACCUGAGACCCUGUUCCUGACUGGACUGACACGUGGUGAGUGAAAGCUGACUCGUAACUGCUGGUUUUUCUCUGAAGAGACUGGCCUCAGGAAAAACCUUUCCUCUUGAGAAACUUCCCAGGUCCUUGGCUUUGCUGAG